AAUCUGGCUGUCUUCGAUAGUCCGAGUUGUAAUCUAUAGAAGCGUUUUCCGUGCUGAACUGUGUCUAAGUCCCUUGGAACAGGGUAUCAAAGAGGGUGACAAUCCCGUACUUGACACAAUCAUCAGUGCUCUGUGAUACGCUCUCUACGAGUCGAGUUGUUUGGGAAUGCAGCUCAAAAUGGGUGGUAAAUUCCAUCUAAAGCUAAAUAUUGGCGAGAGACCGAUAGCGAACAAGUACCGUGAGGGAAAGAUGAAAAGCACUUUGGAAAGAGAGUUAAACAGUACGUGAAAUUGUUGAAAGGGAAACGAUUGAAGUCAGUCGUGUUCAUUGGAUUCAGCCGGUCUUCGGUGUACUUCCUUUGAACGGGUCAACAUCAGUUUUGCCCGGUGGAUAAAGGCAGUAGGAAUGUGGCCUCUCCGGAGGUGUUAUAGCCUAUUGUCACAUACACUGGGGGAGACUGAGGACUGCAGCUCGCCUUUUGGCCGGGGUUCGCCCACGUUCGAGCUUAGGAUGU
This 515-nucleotide ribosomal RNA is filed under the name Apiotrichum loubieri. RNAcentral describes it as "eukaryotic LSU rRNA". It matches the Rfam family "Eukaryotic large subunit ribosomal RNA", at positions 119 to 626 of the family's 3401-position model. The record is from RNAcentral. Lineage: Eukaryota; Fungi; Basidiomycota; Tremellomycetes; Trichosporonales; Trichosporonaceae.